UACGAAGGACCCGAGCGUUAUCCGGAUUUAUUGGGUUUAAAGGGUGCGUAGGCGGACUAGUAAGUCAGUGGUGAAAGCCCAUCGCUUAACGGCGGAACUGCCAUUGAUACUGCUAGUCUUGAGUAUGGUUGAGGUGGGCGGAAUGUGUCAUGUAGCGGUGAAAUGCUUAGAUAUGACCCAGAACACCAAUUGCGAAGGCAGCUCGCUAAGCCAUAACUGACGCUGAUGCACGAAAGCGUGGGGAGCAAACAGG
Molecule: ribosomal RNA, 253 nt
Filed under: uncultured bacterium
Lineage: Bacteria
Description: partial 16S ribosomal RNA
Rfam family: Bacterial small subunit ribosomal RNA
Source: RNAcentral